RNAcentral lists this ribosomal RNA (253 nucleotides) under uncultured bacterium. RNAcentral describes it as "partial 16S ribosomal RNA". It matches the Rfam family "Bacterial small subunit ribosomal RNA", at positions 524 to 776 of the family's 1533-position model. The record is from RNAcentral.
UACGUAGGGUGCGAGCGUUGUCCGGAAUUAUUGGGCGUAAAGAGCUUGUAGGCGGUCUGUCGCGUCUGCUGUGAAAAUCCGGGGCUCAACCCCGGACUUGCAGUGGGUACGGGCAGACUAGAGUGUGGUAGGGGAGACUGGAAUUCCUGGUGUAGCGGUGAAAUGCGCAGAUAUCAGGAGGAACACCAAUGGCGAAAGCAGGCCGCUGGGCCGCUACUGACACUGAGAAACGAAAGCAUGGGGAGCGAAUAGG